RNAcentral lists this transfer RNA (71 nucleotides) under Candidatus Woesebacteria bacterium RBG_13_46_13. Its description in RNAcentral is "tRNA-Ala". It matches the Rfam family "tRNA". From Rfam's summary of the family: Transfer RNA (tRNA) molecules are approximately 80 nucleotides in length. Lineage: Bacteria; Candidatus Woeseibacteriota. RNAcentral also lists the same sequence under 1 other name. The record is from RNAcentral.
GGGCCCGUAGUCUAGAGGUAGAACACUGCAUUCGCAUUGCAGAGGCGGCGGUUCGAUUCCGCCCGGGUCCA